GAUCCCCCAAAGGUGACAUCAGCGAGAGAAAAACGGUCAUAGAGGGUUAACAGAGAAUGUGGAUUACCAUGCUUUGAUUGGCUUGAGACGCGGUUGUUCACGAUCCGAGUUGGAGCGAGCGCAUUUGUUGAUUAUGCUACGUCACAAACCGGAUAAAUCGAUAACCUUCAUUGAUCGGUGCGAACUCACUGGUGAAGUUGAUGUGCAUUCGAUUAGAGAGCGGGCAAAGAUGUCUGGUAUAUUGUUAUACAGAUUGAUUCAAAGAGGUUACACCAAUGUUUUGCGCAUGAUUCCAGAGGAUGAAGUUGCUGAAAAAGAGAGGAAGAAAGCUUCUGCAGCUUUACAACAAGAAAUGCAGUUGCUACAUCAAGAGCACGUUAAAACCGUGACCAAAAUGGACGAUCAGGAUUGCGAAAACAAGCUGAAGAUUGUUUUUAAUUCCCAAAGGGAUUGACAGUAAAGAAGCUGAAGAUGUUUUGGCGCAAGCUGAAGAUUGUUUUUAAUUCCCAUUUUAUUAAAUCGUGUGACUGAUUUUAUACAAGUUGAUCGUGUGAUUGAUUUUAUCACAGGAUAUGAUAAAGCAAUUCGAGACUGAUGGAUUCAAUUGACGAGCUACUCAAGAACACAUUCGAGGUUUGUGCUGCUGGAUCUGCUGUUUAUGUUUCAAGAUUGACCCACUUUUUGAAUCGGAAGUCAACAUUUAAGUUGUAAUCCAGUCUGAAGUUUACUUUAGUAUUUGUUGUGAAGGCAACUUGGAUUUUAGUAAUCUAAAUUAUUAUUAUGUCAAUUUAACCAGGGCAGUGGUUGCCCAGGCACACAUAUUCGUUAUAGAUUCACACUGAUUAUAAUAAUAUAAGCCAACUGGGGAAAUGUA
Molecule: long non-coding RNA, 874 nt
Organism: Helianthus annuus (common sunflower)
Lineage: Eukaryota; Viridiplantae; Streptophyta; Magnoliopsida; Asterales; Asteraceae
Exons: 2
Source: RefSeq, a predicted model, not a curated record